UAUUGAACGCAUAUUGCGGCCACGGGUCCGUCCUGUGGCCACGCCCGUCUGAGGGUCGGCGACGUUCUACCCAUCGCUGGGAGGCUCUUGCUCAGCGCCUUGAGCUUUCGCAGUUUUUGGUACUGCGUGGCUUGAAAUGCAGACUCGAAAUGUUUGUUUGCCUGGCUGCUUCAGUUGCGUGGGCGACCUCAUGCGAGCAAAAGGACAUGGCUCGGAUGAUAAUAAGGACUGUCUUUGCUCUCGACCGCCGCGGCGACUACUAGAACGGUAAGGCAUCCAUCCCAUUUCCGACCUCAGAUCGGACGAGAUUACCCGCUGAAUUUAAGCAUAUCA
Molecule: ribosomal RNA, 333 nt
Filed under: Leiorhagium sp. NeKa33_1
Lineage: Eukaryota; Metazoa; Mollusca; Gastropoda; Littorinimorpha; Tateidae
Description: eukaryotic LSU rRNA
Source: RNAcentral